Mycena rebaudengoi is the source of this 92-nucleotide non-coding RNA. The record is from the annotation of a GenBank genome assembly. Lineage: Eukaryota; Fungi; Basidiomycota; Agaricomycetes; Agaricales; Mycenaceae.
GGCUUGGUAGCGCUGGGAGCGCGUCUGCCUCUGCUGGAUUUGCCCGCGUAUUUGUAAUGCAGAAGGUGCCCGUUCGACUCGGGCUUGAGCCA